GAGAGGAAGAAACAGCAGACAAAGGAAAAGGGAAGGAAAGAAAGAAAGGAACAGAGUGCUUUUCGUCUUUUCUUUCUUUCUUUCUUUCUUUCUUUCUUU
Molecule: non-coding RNA, 99 nt
Filed under: Aurantiochytrium limacinum
Lineage: Eukaryota; Bigyra; Thraustochytrida; Thraustochytriidae
Source: RNAcentral